This 413-nucleotide ribosomal RNA is filed under the name uncultured Glomeromycotina. RNAcentral describes it as "SSU rRNA". It matches the Rfam family "Eukaryotic small subunit ribosomal RNA", at positions 569 to 986 of the family's 1831-position model. Lineage: Eukaryota; Fungi; Glomeromycota. The record is from RNAcentral.
AGCAGCCGCGGUAAUUCCAGCUCCAAUAGCGUAUAUUAAAGUUGUUGCAGUUAAAAAAGCUCGUAGUUGAAUUUCGGGACCAAUAUGUCGGCCGUGCUUCGGUACGUACUUGCAUUAUUGGUUUCUCCCUUCUGAAGAACCAUGAUGUCAUUAAUUUGGUGUCUUGGGGAAUCAAGACUGUUACUUUGAAAAAUUAGAGUGUUUAAAGCAGGCUCACGCUUGAAUACAUUAGCAUGGAAUAAUGAAAUAGGACGUUUGAUUCUAUUUUGUUGGUUUCUAGGAUCGACGUAAUGAUUAAUAGGGAUAGUUGGGGGCAUUAGUAUUCAAUUGUCAGAGGUUGAAAUUCUUGGAUUUAUUGAAGACUAACUACUGCGAAAGCAUUUGCCAAGGAUGUUUUCAUUAAUCAAGAACGA